This 470-nucleotide ribosomal RNA is filed under the name uncultured bacterium. RNAcentral describes it as "bacterial SSU rRNA". It matches the Rfam family "Bacterial small subunit ribosomal RNA", at positions 28 to 507 of the family's 1533-position model. The record is from RNAcentral.
GAUGAACGCUGGCGGCGCGCCUAACACAUGCAAGUCGAACGGUUAAAGCACCUUCGGGUGUGUAUAAAGUGGCGAACGGCUGAGUAACACGUGGGCAACCUGCCUCUUGCUCUGGGAUAGCCUCGGGAAACCGAGGAUAAUACCGGAUACUCCGUACCUUUCGCAUGGAGGGGACGGGAAAGCGCAUACGGCAAGAGAUGGGCCCGCGGCCUGUUAGCUUGUUGGUGGGGUAACGGCCUACCAAGGCAAUGAUGGGUAGCUGGGUUGAGAGACCGACCAGCCAGAUUGGGACUGAGACACGGCCCAGACUCCUACGGGAGGCAGCAGUGGGGAAUCUUGCACAAUGGGCGAAAGCCUGAUGCAGCGACGCCGCGUGCGGGAUGAAGGCCCUAUGGGUUGUAAACCGCUUUCAGCAGGGAAGAGGCCGCAAGGUGACGGUACCUGCAGAAGAAGCUCCGGCUAACUACGUG